Molecule: ribosomal RNA, 253 nt
Filed under: uncultured bacterium
Lineage: Bacteria
Description: partial 16S ribosomal RNA
Rfam family: Bacterial small subunit ribosomal RNA
Source: RNAcentral
UACGUAGGGUGCAAGCGUUGUCCGGAAUUAUUGGGCGUAAAGAGCUCGUAGGCGGUCUGUUGCGUCGGCUGUGAAAACCCGGGGCUCAACCCCGGGCCUGCAGCCGAUACGGGCAGACUAGAGUUCGGCAGGGGAGACUGGAAUUCCUGGUGUAGCGGUGAAAUGCGCAGAUAUCAGGAGGAACACCGGUGGCGAAGGCGGAUCUCUGGGCCUUACCUGACGCUGAGGCGCGAAAGCUAGGGGAGCGAACAGG